Molecule: ribosomal RNA, 254 nt
Filed under: uncultured bacterium
Lineage: Bacteria
Description: partial 16S ribosomal RNA
Rfam family: Bacterial small subunit ribosomal RNA
Source: RNAcentral
UACGGAGGGGGCUAGCGUUGUUCGGAAUUACUGGGCGUAAAGCGCGCGUAGGCGGACCUGCAAGUCGGGGGUGAAAUCCCGAGGCUCAACCUCGGAACUGCCUUCGAUACUGGCGACCUUCGAGUCCGGGAGAGGUGAGUGGAACUCCGAGUGUAGAGGUGAAAUUCGUAGAUAUUCGGAAGAACACCAGUGGCGAAGGCGGCUCACUGGCCCGGUACUGACGCUGAGAUACGAAAGCGUGGGGAGCAAACAGG